GGGGAAUCCGACUGUUUAAUUAAAACAAAGCUUUGCGAUGGCCGUCAGCCGGUGUUGACGCAAUGUGAUUUCUGCCCAGUGCUUUGAAUGUCAAAGUGAAGAAAUUCAACCAAGCGCGGGUAACGGCAGGCGUACUUUGUUUGUAGACAAAGGAAUGGUUAAGCCUGCCUCCUCGUGGCGACCCCUGGGGAUCGAGUUCUUCGUGAGCUAAAUGGCUAACUUUAUUCCU
Non-coding RNA from Ciona savignyi (Pacific transparent sea squirt), 229 nucleotides. The record is from Rfam. Lineage: Eukaryota; Metazoa; Chordata; Ascidiacea; Phlebobranchia; Cionidae.